UGGGGAAUAUUGCACAAUGGACGAAAGUCUGAUGCAGCAACGCCGCGUGGAGGAUGACACAUUUCGGUGCGUAAACUCCUUUUAUGUGAGAAGAUAAUGACGGUAUCACAUGAAUAAGCACCGGCUAACUCCGUGCCAGCAGCCGCGGUAAUACGGAGGGUGCAAGCGUUACUCGGAAUCACUGGGCGUAAAGCGCGCGCAGGCGGCUUUGUAAGUUGGAUGUGAAAUCCUAUGGCUCAACCAUAGAACUGCAUCCAAAACUACUUAGCUAGAGUCUGGGAGGGGAAGAUGGAAUAGUGUGUAAGGGGGGUAAAAUCCGGUAGAGAUCACUAGGAAUACCAAAAGCGAAGGCGAUCUUCUGGAACAGUACUGACGCUGAGGCGCGAAAGCGUGGGGAGCAAACA
Molecule: ribosomal RNA, 404 nt
Filed under: uncultured Sulfurovum sp.
Lineage: Bacteria; Pseudomonadati; Campylobacterota; Epsilonproteobacteria; Campylobacterales; Sulfurovaceae
Description: bacterial SSU rRNA
Rfam family: Bacterial small subunit ribosomal RNA
Source: RNAcentral